RNAcentral lists this ribosomal RNA (235 nucleotides) under uncultured Bifidobacterium sp. RNAcentral's name for it is "partial 16S ribosomal RNA". It matches the Rfam family "Bacterial small subunit ribosomal RNA", at positions 264 to 489 of the family's 1533-position model. Lineage: Bacteria; Bacillati; Actinomycetota; Actinomycetes; Bifidobacteriales; Bifidobacteriaceae. The record is from RNAcentral.
CGCUCUAGAACUAGUGGAUCCCCCGGGCUGCAGCCCAAUGUGGAAUUCGCCCUUCUCCCGCCGCGCGCGGCGGGCGGGGCGGGGGCACGGGGGGCCUACGGGAGGCAGCAGUGGGGAAUAUUGCACAAUGGGCGCAAGCCUGAUGCAGCGACGCCGCGUGAGGGAUGGAGGCCUUCGGGUUGUAAACCUCUUUUGUUUGGGAGCAAGCCUUCGGGUGAGUGUACCUUUCGAAUAA